RNAcentral lists this long non-coding RNA (2452 nucleotides) under Homo sapiens (human). Its description in RNAcentral is "non-protein coding lnc-SLC35C1-83:12". Lineage: Eukaryota; Metazoa; Chordata; Mammalia; Primates; Hominidae. The record is from RNAcentral.
AGUUGUGAAAUCAUAAAAUGUCAGCAUCUAACCUUCUAAUGUAGCAAAAGUGAUGUCUCAGUACCUCCAGUCUACGUCAUAAGAAGCCUUAUCAUUUCCACUUGUGUCUCUUGGGAUGCUCUCUCUCAGAAUCCAGGUGCCCUUCCAUGAGAAGCCCAAGCCAUGUGGAGAAGCCACGUCUAGGGACUCCAGUUAACACUCUCAGCUGAGUCCCCAGCUGACAGUCAGCAUCAACUGCCAGCCACCUCUGUCUAAAAGUGGGCUAUCUUGGGCAUCCAGCCCAGUCAAGCCUUCAGAUGAGUCCAGUCCCAGCCACUAUCUCACACAACCACACGAGAGACAUCAAGAACUCCCAGUGGAGUCCAGUCAGCCCAUGGAACUGCAAGAGACAGGAUCUCGCUGCGUUGCUCAGACUGGUCUCGAACUCCUGGGCUUAAGGGAUUCUCCUGCCUCAAUCACAGCCUCCCAAGUAGCUGAGAUUAAAAGUGCUCACCACCGUGCCAGCGAGUUCAGUUUUUGAGGGUGGAGCCAAGACUCUGAGGAGAGGGCUGAACUGUGAACCUAGAAGUACCAUCUCCCCCUGCACACACCUUUGGUCAAGUUGACCCCAAGAAGAAGGACAAGUCCUCUGCACGGCGAUGAGGCCAUACACACAGUCUGUGGCCCGGCUUUGGGAGACUGAUGGGACAAAGGAUGUUUUGCACGAUCCUUGGUCUCUGAGCAAAUAUAUACAUGGGUUAACACAAAGGCUCUCUUUUUGAAAAAUGUGACUGUGAAAGUGUGCCCUCCCAGAUAUUCCAGGCAUAACACAGGAGUGACUGCAUGUUUGGGGACAGUGCGGAGGCCACUCUGAUUAGAUCAGAGGAUGUGGACUGGUUCAUGAUGUAAAAGCUGAAGGGAGGCCGGGCACAGUGGCUCACGCCUGUAAUCCUAGCACUUUGGGAGGCCAAGGUGGGUGGAUCACGAGGUCAGGAGAUCGAGACCAUCCUGGCUAACAAGGUGAAACCCCGUCUCUACUAAAAAUACAAAAAUUAGCCAGGCGUGGUGGCAGGCGCCUGUAGUCCCAGCUACUGGGGAGGCUGAGUACUGGGGAGGCUGAGGCAGGAGAAUGACGUGAACCUGGGAGGCAGAGCUUGCAGUGAGCUGAGAUCGCGCCACUGCACUCCAGCCUGGGCAACAAAGCGAGACGCUGUCUCAAAAAAAAAAAAUGCUGAAGGGAGGGUGGUAAUGAAGGGAAGAAGACUCCAGGGUUUCAAGUGCCAUGGAUUAAGGGAGGGAGUAAAGGCAGAGGGCCAGGACAGAUGGUUGGAUCUGUCUUAGAGGUGAGGUACCUUCAAGAUGCCUCAGGGAAAAUGGCCAGUAGUCCAUCAGGACUCAAGAGUAAGACUCCAGGAAGACACUUGAAAUGGGAAGAGAGCUAAGAAAAUAAUCCACAUAGAGGUGAUCAUUAAAGGCGUAAAGAAUAAAGCAAUAACGUAAAAAAAAAAAAAAAAAAAAAAAAAAAAAGCAAGGACUGAACUUUAGGGAACAAGUAAGUAGGCUUCUUUUGUGUCCCAAAGCCAGAGAACGAGAACAUUUCAAGAAGAGGGGUUAAAUUCAGCCUGAAGAAGGAAGUUGCACAAAAUCUCUGGAUGUGGCUACCGGGAAGGCCUUGGUGAAUUCUGAGCGAGCCGUUCCCACGGAGGGAGCAGUGGAUGGAGGCCAGCUGAGGACUGCCGGGGUAGAGGGUGGGUGGAGCAGCCAAGGGAGACAGGAGAGGGUGGGAGCCAAUGAAACGGAGAGAGGGAGGCUAGGAGAUUUGCAGGCCAACAGCAUCACAUUAAGUUUCUUUUUAACAAGACGAUCCAGUUUUUCAUUAGAGAAAGAAGGAAACUGCAAAUCAGGGGUAUUUAAAGGUCGUGUGAAAAUCACGAAAACCUCAAGUUGAAUCUGUUCCCACCUAAAUAACUUUUGUUUAGAAACCAAGCAAAGCCACUGAAACCAUCUCAGCACAAAUCCCAAAAUGGAAUUAUUCGGAUGUCUCUGAAAUGGUGUAGGUGCCAUGAGCCACUGUGCUAAUAUGCAGUGUGUCCACACAGAGCCCAGGGCCCAGUGGUGUCAGAGACAAAGGCCAGAGCUUCCCAGAAAGUUCCAUAAGGACAGGAAUUCAGGAAGUGGGGUCAAGGGAAGAGCUGCUGUCACUGAAUAUACUGCAGCUUAAGAAAAUGAUCCUGUUUAACCAGCACCUACUAUGGGCUAGGCACUUCACCGACAUUUUUCUCAUCCUGAACAAGACUACGAAGUAUUUUUUCUGUUACUAUCCCCACAGUGGAGAUAAGGAAACACAGGUUCAGGGUAAGUUGCCUCAAACCCACAGUUCGUAAGUGGCAGAGAUAACCUUGGAGCCCAGGUAUAUCUGCCUCUAACCCCACCGUGUUCCCAUCCGGCCUGGAACCUCACCCAAACACACUGG